CGAGCGGUAGCCAGAGAGCUCGCUCUCCCGUGACCAGCCUCGGACGGGUGAGUCAUGUCUGGGAAACUGCCUGAUGGAGGGGGAUAACUACUGGAAACGGUAGCUAAUACCGCAUAAUGUCGCAAGACCAAAGUGGGGGACCUUCGGGCCUCAUGCCAUCAGAUGUGCCCAGAUGGGAUUAGCUAGUACGUGGGGUAACGGCUCACCUAGGCGACGAUCCCUAGCUGGUCUGAGAGGAUGACCAGCCACACUGGAACUGAGACACGUUCCAACUCUAGUACGGGAGGCAGCAGUGGGGAAUAUUGCACAAUGGGCGCAAGCCUGAUGCAGCCAUGCCGCGUGUGUGAAGAAGGCCUUCGGGUUGUAAAGCACUUUCAGCGGGGAGGAAGGCGUUAAGGUUAAUAACCUUGUCGAUUGACGUUACCCGCAGAAGAAGCACCGGCUAACUCCGUGCCAGCAGCCGCGGUAAUACGGAGGGUGCAAGCGUUAAUCGGAAUUACUGGGCGUAAAGCGCACGCAGGCGGUCUGUCAAGUCGGAUGUGAAAUCCCCGGGCUCAACCUGGGAACUGCAUUCGAAACUGGCAGGCUAGAGUCUUGUAGAGGGGGGUAGAAUUCCAGGUGUAGCGGUGAAAUGCGUAGAGAUCUGGAGGAAUACCGGUGGCGAAGGCGGCCCCCUGGACAAAGACUGACGCUCAGGUGCGAAAGCGUGGGGAGCAAACAGGAUUAGAUACCCUGGUAGUCCACGCCGUAAACGAUGUCGAUUUGGAGGUUGUGCCCUUGAGGCGUGGCUUCCGGAGCUAACGCGUUAAAUCGACCGCCUGGGGAGUACGGCCGCAAGGUUAAAACUCAAAUGAAUUGACGGGGCCCGCACAAGCGGUGGAGCAUGUGGUUUAAUUCGAUGCAACGCGAAGAACCUUACCUGGUCUUGACAUCCACAGAACUUAGCAGAGAUGCUUUGGUGCCUUCGGGACUG
This 973-nucleotide ribosomal RNA is filed under the name Klebsiella pneumoniae. RNAcentral's name for it is "bacterial SSU rRNA". It matches the Rfam family "Bacterial small subunit ribosomal RNA", at positions 63 to 1029 of the family's 1533-position model. The record is from RNAcentral. Lineage: Bacteria; Pseudomonadati; Pseudomonadota; Gammaproteobacteria; Enterobacterales; Enterobacteriaceae.